Molecule: transfer RNA, 69 nt
Filed under: Cavia porcellus (domestic guinea pig)
Lineage: Eukaryota; Metazoa; Chordata; Mammalia; Rodentia; Caviidae
Rfam family: tRNA
About the family: Transfer RNA (tRNA) molecules are approximately 80 nucleotides in length. Their secondary structure includes four short double-helical elements and three loops (D, anti-codon, and T loops).
Source: Rfam by way of RNAcentral
GGUGAUUUAGCUCAGCGGCAUAAGCGCCUGCCUUGCAAGCAGGCAGUCGUGAGUUCGAUUCCCGUACCG